GACGAACGCUGGCGGCGUGCUUAACACAUGCAAGUCGAACGGAAAGGCCCCGCUUUUGUGGGGUGCUCGAGUGGCGAACGGGUGAGUAACACGUGAGUAACCUGCCCUUGACUUUGGGAUAACUUCAGGAAACUGGGGCUAAUACCGGAUAGGAGCUCCUGCUGCAUGGUGGGGGUUGGAAAGUUUCGGCGGUUGGGGAUGGACUCGCGGCUUAUCAGCUUGUUGGUGGGGUAGUGGCUUACCAAGGCUUUGACGGGUAGCCGGCCUGAGAGGGUGACCGGCCACAUUGGGACUGAGAUACGGCCCAGACUCCUACGGGAGGCAGCAGUGGGGAAUAUUGCACACUGGGCGGAAGCCUGAUGCAGCAACGCCGCGUGCGGGAUGACGGCCUUCGGGUUGUAAACCGCUUUCGCCUGUGACGAAGCGUGAGUGACGGUAAUGGGUAAAGAAGCACCGGCUAACUACGU
This 467-nucleotide ribosomal RNA is filed under the name uncultured bacterium. RNAcentral's name for it is "partial 16S ribosomal RNA". It matches the Rfam family "Bacterial small subunit ribosomal RNA", at positions 28 to 506 of the family's 1533-position model. The record is from RNAcentral.